This is a long non-coding RNA of Cebus imitator (Panamanian white-faced capuchin), 176 nucleotides long. RefSeq lists it as uncharacterized. Lineage: Eukaryota; Metazoa; Chordata; Mammalia; Primates; Cebidae. The transcript has 4 exons. The record is from RefSeq and is a predicted model, not a curated record.
GACUGGAGUGCAGACUUGUGCUCUUCCGGUUCACCCCUUCUUAGGCAACCAGGUGGUCCCCCGCUCCGGGGAGGUCACUAUAUUGAUGCUGAACUUAGUGCGGACACCCAAUCCGCACAGCGCACUACAGCCCAGAACUCCUGGGCUCAAGGGAUCCUCCAACCUCAGCCUCCCGA